Myotis myotis is the source of this 7201-nucleotide RNA transcript. It is a transcript of the gene named N-alpha-acetyltransferase 30, NatC catalytic subunit, with no coding region annotated. Lineage: Eukaryota; Metazoa; Chordata; Mammalia; Chiroptera; Vespertilionidae. The transcript has 6 exons. The record is from RefSeq and is a predicted model, not a curated record.
GCGGCGGAGGCGGCCGCGGCGGCGAAGGAGGCGGCGGCGAAGGAGGCGGCGGCAGCGGCUGAGGAGAAAGAGGAGUGGCGGCGCUGGCGGCGGGGACCCGUGCCGGGAUGGCGGAGGUACCGCCUGGGCCUAGCAGCCUCCUCCCACCCCCGGCACCUCCGGCCUCGGCGGCGGCUGAGCCCCGCUGUCCCUUCCCGGCGGGGGCCGCCCUCGCCUGCUGCAGCGAGGACGAGGAGGACGACGAGGAGCACGAAGGCGGCGGCGGCGGCGGCAGGAGUCGGGCGGGCGGCGAGGCGACGGCGGCGGCCAAGGGGCAUCCGUGCCUCCGGUGCCCUCAGCCGCCGCAGGAGCAGCAGCAGCUCAACGGAUUGAUCAGCCCCGAACUGCGGCACCUCCGGGCGGCCGCCUCGCUCAAGAGCAAGGUUUUCAACGCGGCCGAGGCGGCCACGACCACGGCCACCCCCGACGGGGGCCCCAGAGCGACUGCCACAAAAGGAGCCGGGGUCCGCUCGGGCGAGAGCCCCCCGCGCUGCCUCCCCAGCCACGCCAGAACUGCGCUCCCGGGCCCCGCGGAGGCCGCGGCGGCCCGCAAUGGACUGGCGGAGGGCGCCGAGCAGGAGCAGGAGGAGGAGGAGGACGAGCAGGUGCGGCUGCUGUCUUCCUCCCUGACCGCCGGCUGCAGUUUGAGGAGCCCCUCCAGCCGGGAGGCGGAGCCCGGGGAGGAUCGGACGAUACGUUAUGUCCGAUAUGAAUCCGAGCUGCAAAUGCCCGAUAUCAUGAGACUGAUCACCAAAGAUCUGUCCGAACCCUACUCCAUUUAUACCUAUAGAUAUUUUAUCCACAACUGGCCACAGCUGUGCUUCUUGGCCGUGGUAGGGGAGGAGUGUGUAGGUGCCAUCGUUUGCAAGUUGGACAUGCACAAAAAGAUGUUCCGCAGAGGUUAUAUAGCCAUGUUAGCCGUGGAUUCCAAAUACAGGAGAAAUGGCAUUGGUACUAACUUGGUUAAGAAAGCUAUAUAUGCCAUGGUUGAAGGAGACUGUGAUGAGGAGCACCUGACUGGAGACAAGAACACCUGGACAUCUUUGCACAACCUGCUGAGCAGAGGAUCACUGGGGUCUGGCUGAUCACAGGAUGCUUGCAGCUAUUGGGAUGUGAUCCCCUCAGCUUCCGGUGGAGAGACCUGUGGUUAAUGUCCUCUCUUCAUUGCCGGGAGGGCAAUAGAGUAAUCUAUAUAAUAAAAAGGUAUAUUUCUCUAUUUUUAUUGGACUUUGGAUUCAGCACCAUGACAUUGAAAGUCUGAUGAUGUUUCAAUCUGCUUCAUGUCUGAGCUGGCUCCAGGCAAGACAAGUGAAUUAUUGGUCAGUUCCGUCCCGCUAUAAAAAUCAGCGUGCUGGGCUCAGUCUUCUUUCAAUAACGGGCAGAUUGGUUGUGGCUGGGACCCAGUCCUAAACAUCAGGGAUAUUUUGCCUCUUCAGAAAAAGUUUGAGGGACGUGAAAGGAAAAACACUUUAAGUAGGGAAUCAGCCUUCUGCAAUGAAAGGCAGCGCGGGGGAGGGCGUAUUUGGCUCACUGCCAUUGUGCCAGUGUCAACACCUUUUAAAAAAUAAAGAAAAUAGCACCUAUAUGAAGUCAUGGAUAUGUUAAUUUGUUGAUUUCAGUGAUCAUUUCACAAUGUAUGUGUACAUGAAACAUCAAGUUGUACACCUCAAAUAUAUACGAUUUUUCUUUGUCAAAUAUACUUCAAUAAAGCUGAGAGAGAGAGAGGAAUAGUCCUUAGGCCUGCUCUCCACAUCCCAACCCUCACCAUCCUUGUCUUCCAGCUGAUGAGAGACAGGUCUAGACUUUGGAUAAGUAUUCUUGGGCUGGAGCAAUUUCUAGCAGACUCCUAUGUUUCUGUCAUCCUGCUCUCAGAUCUGCUAUGGUAGGGAUCUAGGUAAAAUGAAAUAAUUGCAAAAGAAGAUGGGGAAAAUGUGAUAGCCCUAUAAGGAAGCAACAAGGAGAUUUAACCUAGACUAUAUACCAUAUAACUAUAUGAUGUAUAUCACAUAGCUACUACCUAUGACUUAUUACUGAUAACAGCUAACACAUAAAAGUUCACAAAAGGUAUUCUUUUUUAUAAGUUAGAGUCAGUGGCAUCCUAUAAUAAUGUUACUUGAGCCUGAUAUUUUUUUCUUGCCUGAAAGAGAAAUGAAUAGAGUUCCAGCUGAACCUCCAGAAAACAUGCCAGGGUCUGUGGACCAUUUUGACUACUGUGUAUUGAAGCAGAAAGUUGAGAGCUCCUGGGACGGGGCUAGGAGGUAAGGAUCAUGAUUUUCUUCUAGUGGGGUCCUGGCUCUUGGAUGUCCCCAUUUUAUUUUAGUAGAUAUUCUUCGGGAAUAGCUAUUAAGCACAUUUAACAUUUAACUGAGAAAGAAAGAAUGAUGAUCGAGUCCAUUCUCUAGUUCAGAAUAGAAAGGGAAAUUAAUUAAAAUUGGAGUUGAGUAUUUUUCAUUGUCUUUUGUGAACAAUCUCUCCCUCCUGCCCUUUAACCAAAGCAACUAAAAUUAAACACUCAUCAGUUUGCCACAGCAGUGAGGCAACCAAAGGCCUUACACAGUAUAAUGUGAGUCAGCUAUGAUGUAAGGUAGCUCUUUUGUGUAGAUCUGUUCCCCUCUUUCUUAGGUUUGUAUCGAGAUGGUUACCUUACAUUGUUUUGCAUUUGGGCAUCUCAGGAUUUUGACCCUGUUAUAAGCUGGAGUCUAGAGGGAACCACAGAAUGUUGAGGCAUCACACAGCAUCUUAUGUAGUGGUUACUUUUAUGGGCUUUGAUAUGAGAAAGCCUGGUUUCAAAUGCUGAUGCAGCCACUUAUAGCUCUGUGAUCCCUGAGCGUUACAUCACUAAGAGUGUCUGGUUUCCUUACCUCUAAAAUGAAGAGAAUAGUAAUGAUGCUUAUUUCACAGGGAAAUAAGAUGAUUAAGCAAAACAAUGCACAGAAUAUACUUAGGAGAGGGCCUGACUCAGAGUAAGUAUUUAGUACAUGUGAGUUGCUUAUAUUAUUAGCAGUGGAAAUAUGGGGACCUUUAUUUUACAAAAUUGAAAAACGAAAACUUGUUAUUUUAGCACAAAGACCUGAACAUUAUGCUAAUUUCUAAGAUCGGAAUAUGGCAAGAAAAUCAAACUGUGGACACAGAUCAUCUUGGCCAGGGUUAUAAACCGGCUAAGUGUUUGUGUUAUACUCAGCCUGAGCUCGGGGUCCCACAGGAAGUUGCUGCAUUUCUUCCCGAAGAGCUGUGGCCCAUCCUGCCUACUGCCUUGUUCCACGUGGAUUGAGUUACUAAUGUUCCUUACAAGCCUCUCUUCCUCAAUGAUAGACACUCACUUAUUUAUGGAAAUUAAAUCUUUUCUUUUGCAUAUUUUUUAAAAUUUAUCUUUAUUGUUGAAAGUAUUACAGAUGGCCCCCUCUUCUCCCCAUUGACUCCCUCCAAUCUGCCCUUCAGAGGUGGCACCUCUUUAAUAAAGUAAAUGGGCUGGCAGUAUCUUUAAAAAUUAAAUUCCCCAUUUGUGAGGAUGGGGCAUACAUGCUUUAAACACUUUUUAUUUUGAAAUACUUUCAAGUUAACAUAGAAUUUGGGGAAAAAAAUGGUACAAAGAACUCCUAUAUGUCUCUCAUCAACAUUUCCCAAUCUUUAAUGUAGGGACCCACUCAGAAUUCCAGAGUUGGUAUAAAUAUUAUUUUAAACUUAAGACAUUUGAGAAUCAACAGAUGGAAAGAAGUCUUCUUGAAGCUUCCCUUAUCUAACUAAAAGCAAUAAUUUCUGGGAAAUAAAGCUGCAAUAAAUUUCUUCUAUGGGCACAUCUAUGCCCACAGGGAGGAACAUGAAUAAAACCUUCCCCAAAUUCCUUCUCAGGGGCAGUUUUAUGGCUGUGAAGGAGACAAAAAACCAUUCAUAUCUGUAUAGACAAGCAUUAUUGGCUAACUUCUUUAUCUCUUGAUUGUUAUCCUAAAAACCCAUUUGUCUUUCCUAAAGAAACCUAUUUAUUCUUCCCAGAAAAGCCUUUUCUCCCCUCUCCUUUCCCCCUAAGUUAGGUAUAUAAGUCUUCAACUUAAAUCAUAUAAAGAGCCAGCUCUUUCUUUAGCAAGCUCCCGUGUGUAUGUGAAUAAAUCUUUUUUUCCUGUUAACCUGUCUUCAGUCAGUUUAAUUUGCAGGCCUCAGAUAUGACAUAAGAGGAUAGAGGACAAGUUUUUCCUCCUCUACAUUAACAUUUUGCCUUAUCUUUCCUGUCUCUUUAUAUAUUUAUUUUUUCUAAACCAUUUGAAAGUUAUAGUCAUGACAUCCCAUUGCCCCUUAAUACUGCAAAGUGUAUUUCCUAAAAAGAGACACUUUCCCACAAUACUAUCAUCUAAGCCCUAGAACCCACUAAAAAUUUGCCCAUUACCUCAGUAAUUACCCAAUAAUAUUCUUCAUAAGUCCAGGAUCCAGUCUAGGAUCAUGUGUUACAUUUAGUUAUCAUUCGUUUUAGUCUCCCUCAACCAAGUGCAGUUUCCCAGUGUUUUCUUAUUUUUAAUGGUAUUGAAAGUUUUUAAAAUUUACCCCGUAAAAUGCUCCUCAGUUUGGGUAUGUCUGAUGUUUCCUCAUGAUUGGAUUCAGAUUAUUCAUCUCAGGCAGGAAUAUUACAGAAGUGAUGUUGUAUUCUCUCAGUGUGUAGUAUUAGGAGGCACAUAAUAGUUACCUGUGCUAUUACUCUGGAUACUAACUUUUAUCACUUGGUUAAGAUGGUGUCUGCCUGGAUACUCUAUUAUAAAGUUGUUAACUAGUAUGUACUUCUUUAUUAAUAAGCAAUGAAUAAGCAUCUUAUAGAGAGAUGCUAUGAGAUUAUGUAAAUAUCCUGCCCCUCAUCAAAUUUUCACCUACUUGUUUUAACAGCUAGUGACGAUUCAUGAUUAAAUCAAUUAUUAUAAUGACAGUCGCCAAAUGGUAAUUUUAUAAUUUCAUUAUUACCUCCCCCCUCUUUUUUUUUUCAUCAAAAACCAGUAUCACAAUUUUGUUUUUCUUUAAUAUUAAACCAGUUAUGACACAUAAUAGCAUUAUCUAGAAAACAUUUUGUCAAAACUCAUGAGUGCAGAUAUAUAAGGAUCAACAAGAAAAGAGAUAAUGCAUCUAACUCACAGAAUAAAGACAAAAUCAAAAGAGUUCAUCUUACACAUCAGAGGAAAUAUAAUGAGCUAAAUCCAUGGUAAUUUGGGUUGAAGGCAUCAUCCCUGUACAUUAAAAUUUAUCAGACUGAUUUUUUUUGUGGCUAUACACCAUACACAAUAUAGUAAAAUAAGCCUCAAAAAGGACAUUGGUUUAAAAAUCUUGGCUUUAAGGAAUGACAAACCCUCUAUACAUAUGUAUUUCUCACCAAUGGAUAUAUUAUUUUAGAGAGAGGAAGGGAGGGAGAGAGAGAAAAAAAAGCAUUGAUGUGUGAGAGAAACCUUGAUCAGUUGCCUCCCAUACAUGCCCCAACUGGGGAUCAAACCCUCAAUCUGGGUAUGUGCCCUGACCCAGAAUCUAACCCACCACCCUUUGGUCUAUGGGACGACACUCACACCAGCUGAGCCACACCAGCCAGGGCUUACCUUUAUGUUUUUUUAUUUGGCAUUCUCUUAUAAGGUAGAACUUUUCCUUUCUCCUCAUUUAUUUAUAUAGUAAUUCAUCUAUAUUUUUAAAAGCCUAAUAUGCAAAGUGUCCCCUUGGGAGUUCGACCAGGAGGACGGGCGUUCGAUCACUCACUAUGAUGUGCGCUGACCACCAGGGGGUGGUGCAGAAUGAAGGAAAGCCCUGGCUGGCGGCCGCUAGGGACCCUACCCAUGCACCAAUUUUGUGCACUGGGCCUCUCGUUUAUUUAUAUAAAUAUGGACUUAUGGGCUUCUGUUUUGUUCCAUGUGUUAUUGCCUGUUACUAUGAUUAUUUAUUAGCCCUCUUAGGCUGGCUCCUAUGUCUUUUUAAUGUGUCCCCAUCAUUCUUUGAAGCACUUCCUUACUUUCUGGCACAACACAAUGUUCCAGGCUCACCUGCCAUUUCCUGUCACAGCCCUGGAAUCAGUUAUUUCUUUAAAGAGUCCAGGUUCCUUUUAAGGGAGAAUGUAAUUUAGAAAACAUGAUCUCAAUGCUCAUUGAUAUUGGGAUGUCAUUACUUUCUUUUUAAAAUAUAUUUUUAUUGGUUUCAGAGAGGAAGAAAGUGGGAGAGAGAGAUAGAAACUUCCAUGGUGGAAGAGAAUCAUUGAUUGGCUGCCUCCUGCCUGCCCCACACCAGGGACCGAGCCCGCAACCCAGGCAUGUGCCCUGACUGGGAACCAAACUGUGACCUCCUGGUUUAUAGGUCAGUGCUCAACCACUGAGCCAUGCCAGCCCUGCAGGGUGUGUAAUUACUUUUAAUUCUUCUCAGCAGAGUAGGAAAUAUGUAUGUACACACUCACAUAUAUCCAUAUCUGUCUGUCUGUCUACCUAUCUAUCAUCUAUCUAUAUUAAAAUACCACGAACUCACACUUGAUACCUUCAAUUCCAAUCCAACACCACAGGGCUUUUUAUCCUUUCCUCUUUUACCUAUUUGUAAUGCCUUUCUUCAGCACUGAAAAACUUGGUUCCCAUUAGCAUCAAUAUGUUUGCUUAGUUUGUCAUUUCUCCUGUGUGUAAUCAAUGUCCUAAUGAUACCGGCUACCUCUUUGACCCCAGCCCCACUGACUAUGCUAUCUACACCAGCCAAGUUCUUGACCUUGACUAAGGGAAAUGGAAGGGGAAGAGAUGGUGUACAUUUUCUUUAAUGAAGCCUAAAAUAGUUCUGCUGCUCAAUGUAAUAUAAGUGUUUUUCCUGCUAAAAUCAAAUUCUAAGUUUAAAACAGACAAGUAAAAAUGCAAAGUGAAGAUUCACAUUCAAUUGUUAGUUAAUGAUUGACUUGGCAAGUGAUUAUCUGCUCUGCUUAAUUUUAUUAUCUGAGGCAAUGUAACACCCCGUUGAAGCCAUUAAAGUCAAUCAUUUCAUUGCAUAAUAGACAGAUCUUCCCUUUUUAGUGCAACCAAUAUGCUUAAUUAAUGUAUGUAAAAUUAUGAAAAUCAGAUUUUUCCACCAGUUUAUUAUUUUAUUUUAUUUUAUUUUAUUUUAUUUUAUUUUAUUUUAUUUUAUUUUUGUUAGUCCUCACCUGAGGAUAUUUUUCCAUUGAUUUUUAGGGAGAGUGGAAGAG